This 570-nucleotide ribosomal RNA is filed under the name Enterobacter sp. VF45(2010). Its description in RNAcentral is "bacterial SSU rRNA". It matches the Rfam family "Bacterial small subunit ribosomal RNA", at positions 50 to 611 of the family's 1533-position model. Lineage: Bacteria; Pseudomonadati; Pseudomonadota; Gammaproteobacteria; Enterobacterales; Enterobacteriaceae. The record is from RNAcentral.
CUUACAUGCAAGUCGAGCGGUAGCACAGAGAGCUUGCUCUCGGGUGACGAGCGGCGGACGGGUGAGUAAUGUCUGGGAAACUGCCUGAUGGAGGGGGAUAACUACUGGAAACGGUAGCUAAUACCGCAUAACGUCGCAAGACCAAAGAGGGGGACCUUCGGGCCUCUUGCCAUCAGAUGUGCCCAGAUGGGAUUAGCUAGUAGGUGGGGUAACGGCUCACCUAGGCGACGAUCCCUAGCUGGUCUGAGAGGAUGACCAGCCACACUGGAACUGAGACACGGUCCAGACUCCUACGGGAGGCAGCAGUGGGGAAUAUUGCACAAUGGGCGCAAGCCUGAUGCAGCCAUGCCGCGUGUAUGAAGAAGGCCUUCGGGUUGUAAAGUACUUUCAGCGAGGAGGAAGGCAUUGUGGUUAAUAACCUCAGUGAUUGACGUUACUCGCAGAAGAAGCACCGGCUAACUCCGUGCCAGCAGCCGCGGUAAUACGGAGGGUGCAAGCGUUAAUCGGAAUUACUGGGCGUAAAGCGCACGCAGGCGGUCUGUCAAGUCGGAUGUGAAAUCCCCGGGCUCA